RNAcentral lists this ribosomal RNA (804 nucleotides) under Blastococcus sp. RNAcentral's name for it is "bacterial SSU rRNA". It matches the Rfam family "Bacterial small subunit ribosomal RNA", at positions 67 to 883 of the family's 1533-position model. Lineage: Bacteria; Bacillati; Actinomycetota; Actinomycetes; Geodermatophilales; Geodermatophilaceae. The record is from RNAcentral.
CGGUGAACCCGCUUCGGUGGGGGAUCAGUGGCGAACGGGUGAGUAACACGUGGGCAACCUGCCCCUGGCUCUGGGAUAACUCCAAGAAAUUGGGGCUAAUACCGGAUAUGACCGCUGACCGCAUGGUCUGGUGGUGGAAAGAUUUAUCGGCUGGGGAUGGGCCCGCGGCCUAUCAGCUUGUUGGUGGGGUAGUGGCCUACCAAGGCGACGACGGGUAGCCGGCCUGAGAGGGUGACCGGCCACACUGGGACUGAGACACGGCCCAGACUCCUACGGGAGGCAGCAGUGGGGAAUAUUGCGCAAUGGGCGAAAGCCUGACGCAGCGACGCCGCGUGGGGGAUGACGGCCUUCGGGUUGUAAACCUCUUUCAGCAGGGACGAAGCGAAAGUGACGGUACCUGCAGAAGAAGCACCGGCCAACUACGUGCCAGCAGCCGCGGUAAUACGUAGGGUGCAAGCGUUGUCCGGAAUUAUUGGGCGUAAAGAGCUCGUAGGCGGUUUGUUGCGUCGGCUGUGAAAUCCCGAGGCUCAACCUCGGGUCUGCAGUCGAUACGAGCAAACUAGAGUGUUGCAGGGGAGACUGGAAUUCCUGGUGUAGCGGUGAAAUGCGCAGAUAUCAGGAGGAACACCGGUGGCGAAGGCGGGUCUCUGGGCAACAACUGACGCUGAGGAGCGAAAGCGUGGGGAGCGAACAGGAUUAGAUACCCUGGUAGUCCACGCCGUAAACGUUGGGCGCUAGGUGUGGGGCUCAUUCCACGAGUUCCGUGCCGCAGCUAACGCAUUAAGCGCCCCGCCUGGGGAGUAC